AAAAAGGAUACGAAAGCCAACAUGGAUCGGAUUAAUUGUAAGAUGUUUGGCAGCUGUCUGCCCAGUGGCGAUUGUUACAACACAGAAACCCUAAAAGAUCUGUUGUCAUUAGCUCUGGUAUACAAAGUAUUCUAUACUGCCAGGAUAAGCACACACAUAAAAAAUACCUUUAAGAGAUUUUAAAUGUUCCAAGAAUGUGUUUUGAUUUAUACUCCCUCAAAAUAAAUCAUACACGCUGAAGAGUAAAAGAACAAUGAGAUCCCUCAAACUUUUAACAUUUCUUAAAGUGAAUUAACAUGCUACAAACAGUGCUGUACUGGGUAGUGCACGUUUUUGAGCAGAGUACUGGAGGCUAGAAUUACCAUGUUCCCAGCUUCUAAACUCAACAAUCAAGACCAAUUACCAAAGCCACAGUUUGUACCCUACAGAAAGUAAGAAUCAUUUAGGUAAAACAUCCCCAGAUCCCUUAAGAGGGAGGGUGGAUAUGUGUGUGUGUGUGUAAAUCUGCUCAGUGAGAGAUGUAAAUAAAACCAUAACUUUCCCUCUAUUGUUAAGAGGCUGAACAUACAAAACAGAUCAACUCCAGAGUCAGUGUAAGCCAAGUUGCAGUUUUCUUGAGAAAUAAUGUUAGUUGAAACAGUUUUCAGUAUUUGUUUCAGCUAAGUCAUCAGUCAGCUAAAAUCCUUCAUUAGUCAGCUAAAGCGCAGCAAAUUAAUAAUACGUUCCUUUGUUGAUAACUCCUUUCUCAUUUAAUGGUGCCUCCAUUGGUUGCUGUUACAUUAAAACACUGGCAAAGUAAUAAAGUAUUUCCUUGCUUACUCUUUUAUCACUCUGGUUAGGCUAUGGCUUAAAAAGAAUAAACAUACUUUUGGUAAACUAAAAGAAUGCUAAAUAAAUGAUUAACUUGAGAAUAUAAGAAAAACAUCAUAAGUAGCUAAUUAAUUUGCAGAUAAUGGGAGAUAACAUGUAACUGAUGCUUCUCCAGUUGGCCUCUAUUUCCUGGCUAUGGAUCUAAAUAAUGUCAAAAUGUCACACUCCAUCAUUUGCCACUUUACUGAGAAGUGGGGGAGUAAACAGAGAUACAACUCAGAAGCAUUGUGAUUCAAGUACGGAGGAGGCAUGAAGCCAAGGAGACUACAGAUGAAUGUACUUGGAAUCCAGCCUGGGCCAUGACCAGACUUGUACCCAUUAGGGUACAGACUCAUCUUGGGAAACAGAAUCUACUCCUAAUCAUCCAGAAUGCCCUUGAAGUAGGUGGGCAGGCUCUAUGCUGCAGGUGGUGAAGUGGCCCUGACAUACCUUAUUCUUCCAGAGGCCCUUGAGGACUUCUAAGCCCUCUCACAUCAUCCAUCUAUUCCCAUUGAACCGAACCUUGCUUCAUAGUCACACUAAUCGCCAAAAGAGUUUCUGGCUAAGUGAGACCAAAGUACUCAUAACAACAAGCAUCUGUCAUCUACCAUAAUACUCUCUACUAUGGAUUUUAAUUGGUAGCAAUGAUUUCAAAACUUGACUGCUGUUGAGUUUUAGAUGAAUCAUCUUACCCAGCCCCUGCCCAUGCCUCCAACUGCAUCUUGAGCUACUCUCCAUUUGCUGAGGGCAUUUGCUCAGGACACUCCAGCUCCACUAGCCUUUUCCAGCUCCUCCAGCACUACGCUGACCUCCUUCCAACUCAUCCAACACAUCAAACUACUUCCUGCCUCAGAGCCUUCCCUCUGCUUGGACAUCUUUUUCUCCAUUUCUUGCUUGACCAACUUGUUUCUACUCAACUUCCAGAUUCCUGUUUUAAGGUUGGUUUUAAGAGCAGCCUUCUGAGAUCCUCCCAAGGUCAAGGGUUAGUCACCUGGUAAGAAGCUGCCAAUUGCAAAUAAGAGUGUGCACUUGCUGGAUGUCUUCUGUUUGCUCUCUUGACCCACCUUCUACCAUUCCCCACCUUCUUCUUUGCCUCCGGAAGGGAGCUUUCUGGACUGCACCAACAAGCUACUUUGUCCUCUGGCUUGUCCUCGGAUUCAGUCAGUGGGAGGUACCCACAAGGUGACUUAGAAGGCAGAAGAGGAAUGAGGUAAGGCACUUGGUCAUGUAAACAGAUCAUUGUCGUUUUCAAUGUGAAGUUACUUGGCUGCCUUGGAAAAAAGGUAAGACAAUGAAUAUUCUUGAUAAAGUAAUACAUGUUUAUUGCUAAAUAUAUGAAGAUUUCUGAUAGAUACUGAAAAUCUCCAAAGCAACACAAAACAGUAAGUUAUUAGGAUCUUCCCAAAUCUUGCUCUGUGCAUUAAAAAGGAAACUGGUGAAAACUUGAGGCAAUACAA
This 2306-nucleotide long non-coding RNA is filed under the name Homo sapiens (human). RNAcentral's name for it is "HSALNT0348653". Lineage: Eukaryota; Metazoa; Chordata; Mammalia; Primates; Hominidae. The record is from RNAcentral.